UCUCCGUAGGUGAACCUGCGGAGGGAUCAUUACAGAGUUCAUGCCCUACCGGGUAGAUCUCCCACCCUAUGUUAUUAUUACUUUGUUGCCUUGGCGGGCCGUUAGGCUCCGGCCCGACUACCGGCCCCGGCUGGUAAGCGCCCGCCAGAGGACCCAAAACCCUAAAUAUUAGUGUCGUCUGAGUACUAUAUAAUAGUUAAAACUUUCAACAACGGAUCUCUUGGUUCUG
This 229-nucleotide unclassified non-coding RNA is filed under the name plant metagenome. RNAcentral's name for it is "partial contains small subunit ribosomal RNA, internal transcribed spacer 1, and 5.8S ribosomal RNA". The record is from RNAcentral.